RNAcentral lists this ribosomal RNA (459 nucleotides) under uncultured bacterium. Its description in RNAcentral is "SSU rRNA". It matches the Rfam family "Bacterial small subunit ribosomal RNA", at positions 26 to 518 of the family's 1533-position model. The record is from RNAcentral.
AGAAUCAACGCUGGCGGCGUGCCUAACACAUGCAAGUCGAACGAGAAAGGGGAGCAAUCCCUGAGUAAAGUGGCGCACGGGUGAGUAACACGUGACUAACCUACCCUGGAGUGGGGGAUAACUGAGGGAAACCUUAGCUAAUACCGCAUAAUACCUAUGGGUCAAAGGAGCAAUUCGCUUUGGGAGGGGGUCGCGGCCGAUUAGUUAGUUGGCGGGGUAAUGGCCCACCAAGACAGUGAUCGGUAUCCGGCCUGAGAGGGCGCACGGACACACUGGAACUGAAACACGGUCCAGACUCCUACGGGAGGCAGCAGUGGGGAAUUUGCGCAAUGGGGGAAACCCUGACGCAGCAACGCCGCGUGGAGGAUGAAGUACUUCGGUACGUAAACUCCUUUCGAUCGGGACGAUAAUGACGGUACCGGAAGAAGAAGCCCCGGCUAACUUCGUGCCAGCAGCCGC